RNAcentral lists this ribosomal RNA (253 nucleotides) under uncultured bacterium. RNAcentral's name for it is "partial 16S ribosomal RNA". It matches the Rfam family "Bacterial small subunit ribosomal RNA", at positions 524 to 776 of the family's 1533-position model. The record is from RNAcentral.
UACAGAGGGUGCGAGCGUUAAUCGGAAUUACUGGGCGUAAAGCGCACGUAGUCGGCUUGUCAAGUCGGGUGUGAAAUCCCCGGGCUCAACCUGGGAACUGCAUCCGAUACUGGUGGGCUCGAAUCCGGGAGAGGGAUGUGGAAUUCCAGGUGUAGCGGUGAAAUGCGUAGAUAUCUGGAGGAACACCGGUGGCGAAGGCGGCAUCCUGGACCGGCAUUGACGCUGAGGCGCGAAAGCCAGGGGAGCAAACGGG